CAGCAGCCGCGGUAAUACGUAGGGUGCGAGCGUUAAUCGGAAUUACUGGGCGUAAAGCGUGCGCAGGCGGUUCGUUAAGACAGAUGUGAAAUCCCCGGGCUUAACCUGGGAACUGCAUUUGUGACUGGCGAGCUAGAGUAUGGCAGAGGGGGGUAGAAUUCCACGUGUAGCAGUGAAAUGCGUAGAGAUGUGGAGGAAUACCGAUGGCGAAGGCAGCCCCCUGGGCCAAUACUGACGCUCAUGCACGAAAGCGUGGGGAGCAAACAGGAUUAGAUACCCGUGUAGUCCCUGUCUCUUAUAA
RNAcentral lists this ribosomal RNA (301 nucleotides) under uncultured bacterium. RNAcentral describes it as "partial 16S ribosomal RNA". It matches the Rfam family "Bacterial small subunit ribosomal RNA", at positions 509 to 809 of the family's 1533-position model. The record is from RNAcentral.